CCUACGGGUGGCAGCAGUGGGGAAUAUUGCACAAUGGGCGCAAGCCUGAUGCAGCCAUGCCGCGUGUGUGAAGAAGGCCUUCGGGUUGUAAAGCACUUUCAGCGGGGAGGAAGGCGGUGGGGUUAAUAACCUCAUCGAUUGACGUUACCCGCCGAAGAAGCACCGGCUAACUCCGUGCCAGCAGCCGCGGUAAUACGGAGGGUGCAAGCGUUAAUCGGAAUUACUGGGCGUAAAGCGCACGCAGGCGGUCUGUCAAGUCGGAUGUGAAAUCCCCGGGCUCAACCUGGGAACUGCAUUCGAAACUGGCAGGCUAGAGUCUUGUAGAGGGGGGUAGAAUUCCAGGUGUAGCGGUGAAAUGCGUAGAGAUCUGGAGGAAUACCGGUGGCGAAGGCGGCCCCCUGGACAAAGACUGACGCUCAGGUGCGAAAGCGUGGGGAGCAAACAGGAUUAGAUACCCGUGUAGUC
RNAcentral lists this ribosomal RNA (465 nucleotides) under uncultured Klebsiella sp. RNAcentral's name for it is "bacterial SSU rRNA". It matches the Rfam family "Bacterial small subunit ribosomal RNA", at positions 338 to 795 of the family's 1533-position model. The record is from RNAcentral. Lineage: Bacteria; Pseudomonadati; Pseudomonadota; Gammaproteobacteria; Enterobacterales; Enterobacteriaceae.